RNAcentral lists this ribosomal RNA (253 nucleotides) under uncultured bacterium. RNAcentral describes it as "partial 16S ribosomal RNA". It matches the Rfam family "Bacterial small subunit ribosomal RNA", at positions 524 to 776 of the family's 1533-position model. The record is from RNAcentral.
UACGUAGGGGGCAAGCGUUGUCCGGAUUUAUUGGGCGUAAAGAGCGUGUAGGCGGUCAGGUAGGUCCGUUGUGAAAACUCGAGGCUCAACCUCGAGACGCCGAUGGAAACCAUCUGACUAGAGUCCGGAAGAGGAGAGUGGAAUUCCUGGUGUAGCGGUGAAAUGCGCAGAUAUCAGGAGGAACACCGAUGGCGAAGGCAGGUCUCUGGGCCACUACUGACGCUGAGAAGCGAAAGCAUGGGGAGCGAACAGG